This 1178-nucleotide ribosomal RNA is filed under the name Escherichia coli. RNAcentral's name for it is "bacterial LSU rRNA". It matches the Rfam family "Bacterial large subunit ribosomal RNA", at positions 1 to 1212 of the family's 2925-position model. Lineage: Bacteria; Pseudomonadati; Pseudomonadota; Gammaproteobacteria; Enterobacterales; Enterobacteriaceae. The record is from RNAcentral.
GGGUUGUGAGGUUAAGCGACUAAGCGUACACGGUGGAUGCCCUGGCAGUCAGAGGCGAUGAAGGACGUGCUAAUCUGCGAUAAGCGUCGGUAAGGUGAUAUGAACCGUUAUAACCGGCGAUUUCCGAAUGGGGAAACCCAGUGUGUUUCGACACACUAUCAUUAACUGAAUCCAUAGGUUAAUGAGGCGAACCGGGGGAACUGAAACAUCUAAGUACCCCGAGGAAAAGAAAUCAACCGAGAUUCCCCCAGUAGCGGCGAGCGAACGGGGAGCAGCCCAGAGCCUGAAUCAGUGUGUGUGUUAGUGGAAGCGUCUGGAAAGGCGCGCGAUACAGGGUGACAGCCCCGUACACAAAAAUGCACAUACUGUGAGCUCGAUGAGUAGGGCGGGACACGUGGUAUCCUGUCUGAAUAUGGGGGGACCAUCCUCCAAGGCUAAAUACUCCUGACUGACCGAUAGUGAACCAGUACCGUGAGGGAAAGGCGAAAAGAACCCCGGCGAGGGGAGUGAAAAAGAACCUGAAACCGUGUACGUACAAGCAGUGGGAGCCUCUUUAUGGGGUGACUGCGUACCUUUUGUAUAAUGGGUCAGCGACUUAUAUUCUGUAGCAAGGUUAACCGAAUAGGGGAGCCGAAGGGAAACCGAGUCUUAACUGGGCGUUAAGUUGCAGGGUAUAGACCCGAAACCCGGUGAUCUAGCCAUGGGCAGGUUGAAGGUUGGGUAACACUAACUGGAGGACCGAACCGACUAAUGUUGAAAAAUUAGCGGAUGACUUGUGGCUGGGGGUGAAAGGCCAAUCAAACCGGGAGAUAGCUGGUUCUCCCCGAAAGCUAUUUAGGUAGCGCCUCGUGAAUUCAUCUCCGGGGGUAGAGCACUGUUUCGGCAAGGGGGUCAUCCCGACUUACCAACCCGAUGCAAACUGCGAAUACCGGAGAAUGUUAUCACGGGAGACACACGGCGGGUGCUAACGUCCGUCGUGAAGAGGGAAACAACCCAGACCGCCAGCUAAGGUCCCAAAGUCAUGGUUAAGUGGGAAACGAUGUGGGAAGGCCCAGACAGCCAGGAUGUUGGCUUAGAAGCAGCCAUCAUUUAAAGAAAGCGUAAUAGCUCACUGGUCGAGUCGGCCUGCGCGGAAGAUGUAACGGGGCUAAACCAUGCACCGAAGCUGCGGCAGCGAC